GCAUAUCAAUAAGCGGAGGAAAAGAAACCAACAGGGAUUGCUCUAGUAACGGCGAGUGAAGCAGCAAUAGCUCAAAUUUGAAAUCUGGCGUCUUCGACGUCCGAGUUGUAAUUUGUAGAGGAUGCUUCUGAGUGGCCACCGACCUAAGUUCCUUGGAACAGGACGUCACAGAGGGUGAGAAUCCCGUACGUGGUCGCUGGCUAUUGCCGUGUAAAGCCCCUUCGACGAGUCGAGUUGUUUGGGAAUGCAGCUCUAAAUGGGAGGUACAUUUCUUCUAAAGCUAAAUAUUGGCCAGAGACCGAUAGCGCACAAGUAGAGUGAUCGAAAGAUGAAAAGCACUUUGGAAAGAGAGUCAAACAGCACGUGAAAUUGUUGAAAGGGAAGCGCUUGCAGCCAGACUUGCUUGCAGUUGCUCAUCCGGGCUUUUGCCCGGUGCACUCUUCUGCAGGCGGGCCAGCAUCAGUUUGGGCGGUAGGAUAAAGGUCUCUGUCACGUACCUCUCUUCGGGGAGGCCUUAUAGGGGAGACGACAUACUACCAGCCUGGACUGAGGUCCGCGCAUCUGCUAGGAUGCUGGCGUAAUGGCUGUAAGCGGCCCGUCUUGAAACACGGACC
This 614-nucleotide ribosomal RNA is filed under the name uncultured fungus. Its description in RNAcentral is "LSU rRNA". It matches the Rfam family "Eukaryotic large subunit ribosomal RNA", at positions 38 to 667 of the family's 3401-position model. Lineage: Eukaryota; Fungi. The record is from RNAcentral.